AUUGAACGCUAGCGGGAUGCUUUACACAUGCAAGUCGAACGGAGUGGCGGACGGGUGUGAAAUAUAUCGGACAGUGCCCAGUAGCGGGGGAUAACUACUCGAAAGAGGGGCUAAUACCACAACAUCUUGGAGCGGCCGAUAUCGGAUUAGCUAGUUGGUGGGGUAAAGGCUCACCAAGGCAACUCUCCGUAGUUGGUUAGCGAGGACGACCAGCCACACUGGGACUGAGACACGGCCCAGACUCCUACGGUAGGCAGCAGUGGGGAAUUUUGGACAAUGGGGGAAACCCUGAUGCAGCCAUCCCGCGUGUAUGAGGAAGGCCUUCGGGUUGUAAAGUACUUUUGGCAGAGAAGCGGUAUCUGCAGAAGAAGCACCGGCUAACUACGUGCCAGCAGCCGCGGUAAUUC
Molecule: ribosomal RNA, 407 nt
Filed under: uncultured bacterium
Lineage: Bacteria
Description: partial 16S ribosomal RNA
Rfam family: Bacterial small subunit ribosomal RNA
Source: RNAcentral